RNAcentral lists this ribosomal RNA (406 nucleotides) under uncultured bacterium. Its description in RNAcentral is "partial 16S ribosomal RNA". It matches the Rfam family "Bacterial small subunit ribosomal RNA", at positions 29 to 526 of the family's 1533-position model. The record is from RNAcentral.
AUCGAACGCUGGCGGCAGGCCUAACACAUGCAAGUCGAGCGAGCGUCGCACGGGUGAGUAACGCCUGUGAAAAAGCCUGACGGAGGGGGAUAACUACUGGAAACGGUAGCUAAUACCGCAGACCAUCAGAUGUGCACAGAUGGGAUUAGCUAGUGGGUGGGGUAACGGCGCACAUAGGCGAGGAUACCUAGCUGGUCUGAGAGAUGGACCAGCCACAUUGGACUUGAGACACGGCCCAGCCGCGUCCGGGAGGCAGAGGUGGGGAAGAUUGGACAAUGGGCGAAAGCGGGAUGCGUCCAUGCGGCGGGUGGGAGGAAGGCCUCCGGGUUGUAAAGCCCGUUAAGCGGGGAGACGUUACCCGAAGAGAAAGCAACGGCUAACUACGUGCCAGCAGCCGCGGUAAUUC